UACGUAGGGGGCAAGCGUUAUCCGGAUUUACUGGGUGUAAAGGGGGCGCAGACGGCGAUGCAAGCCAGGAGUGAAAGCCCGGGGCCCAACCCCGGGACUGCUCUUGGAACUGCGUGGCUGGAGUGCAGGAGGGGCAGGCGGAAUUCCUGGUGUAGCGGUGAAAUGCGUAGAUAUCAGGGGGAACACCGGUGGCGAAGGCGGCCUGCUGGACUGCAACUGACGUUGAGGCCCGAAAGCGUGGGGAGCAGACAGG
This 253-nucleotide ribosomal RNA is filed under the name uncultured bacterium. RNAcentral describes it as "partial 16S ribosomal RNA". It matches the Rfam family "Bacterial small subunit ribosomal RNA", at positions 524 to 776 of the family's 1533-position model. The record is from RNAcentral.